RNAcentral lists this long non-coding RNA (638 nucleotides) under Crocodylus porosus (Australian saltwater crocodile). Its description in RNAcentral is "lncRNA (ENSCPRG00005009628.1)". The record is from RNAcentral. Lineage: Eukaryota; Metazoa; Chordata; Crocodylia; Crocodylidae.
UCGUGGUAUCCGGUUAGAAUCAGGUGAAAGCGACGGGAGAGAUGAAAAUAGCUUUGCAACCCACAGUACCGCCCACAGAAAAGCACAAAUGACUGAUGAGCCGUUCUGCUCCCAGGAUCAGGAGAUGCAGGCAUUUGCUUCAUCUUCAGCUUCUAGUACAGUACCAGCAACACUACUUACAGGACAGGAGGAACUACUGCACCAAAUAAUAUGGAGCUGAGGGAGGAGGAGGAAGACUUAGGAGAUUCCUUGUGAAGCAGAGACCUGGUUGGGCAAAAUAUAGAAGGUCAAAAUACCAAACGUAGGAAGGCACAGCCUAAUACAUUUGAGUGGAUUCACCCUUUCACUGUCUCCUGUCUCCCAGAGGCUCCACUGAGCCCCUGUGAAUUGUAGGACACACUUGGUACAUGUGAUGGCUAUGCCUGCUAUUUCCAUUGGAAGCCAUAGGAUUGUGAAAGAAACAUACAGGAAAAAAAACCGAACAUCAGGUACAUGGGUAACAUCAAGCAUUCAACAUCUGAGCAAUUCAAGCAAGGGUCAGGAACUGGCCUAUUCCAAAGCCUGCCCAAGGCCCUGAAGGAAACUAGCAAAACCCUUCAGGGAAUAAAAAUUGGACUUUGAUGAGUCUGGAUUUGGCU